UUGAGCUAACCAAUACUAAUUGCCCGUGAGGCUUGACCAUAUAACACCCAAGCAAUU
Molecule: ribosomal RNA, 57 nt
Filed under: Pseudomonas fluorescens
Lineage: Bacteria; Pseudomonadati; Pseudomonadota; Gammaproteobacteria; Pseudomonadales; Pseudomonadaceae
Also listed under: 4 other names
Description: partial 23S ribosomal RNA
Source: RNAcentral